UAGGGAAUCUUCCGCAAUGGGCGAAAGCUUGCCGGAGCAACGUCGUGCGAGUGAUGAAGGUCUUCGGAUCGUAACACUCUGUUAUUAGGGAAGAACAAAUGUGUAAGUAACUAUGCACGUCUUGACGGUACCUAAUCAGAAAGCCACGGCUAACUACGUGCCAGCAGCCGCGGUAAUACGUAGGUGGCAAGCGUUAUCCGGAAUUAUUGGGCGUAAAGCGCGCGUAGGCGGUUUUUUAAGUCUGAUGUGAAAGCCCACGGCUCAACCGUGGAGGGUCAUUGGAAACUGGAAAACUUGGGUGCAGAAGAGGAAAGUGGAAUUCCAUGUGUAGCGGUGAAAUGCGCAGAGAUAUGGAGGAACACCAGUGGCGAAGGCGACUUUCUGGUAUGUAACAGACACUAAUGUGCGAAAGCGUGGAGCUCUAACAGG
Molecule: ribosomal RNA, 429 nt
Filed under: Actinomycetes bacterium
Lineage: Bacteria; Bacillati; Actinomycetota; Actinomycetes
Description: Actinobacteria bacterium partial 16S ribosomal RNA
Rfam family: Bacterial small subunit ribosomal RNA
Source: RNAcentral